Molecule: ribosomal RNA, 238 nt
Filed under: uncultured bacterium
Lineage: Bacteria
Description: partial 16S ribosomal RNA
Rfam family: Bacterial small subunit ribosomal RNA
Source: RNAcentral
UGAGCAAUCUGCCCUUCUCUUUGGAAUAAGCGUUGGAAACGACGUCUAAUGCCGAAUAUGACCUCCUUUCGCAUGAUCGGAGGUGGAAAGCUCCGGCGGAGAAGGAUGAGCUCGCGGCCUAUCAGCUAGUUGGUGUGGGUAAUGGCCCACCAAGGCGACGACGGGUAGCCGGCCUGGAGAGGGUCGACCGGCCACACGUGGGACUGAGAUACCGGCCCAGACCUCCGUACGGGAGCAG